Molecule: long non-coding RNA, 1144 nt
Filed under: Homo sapiens (human)
Lineage: Eukaryota; Metazoa; Chordata; Mammalia; Primates; Hominidae
Description: ATP13A3 divergent transcript
Source: RNAcentral
GCAGCCGGAUUUCCAAAUCGCGGGUUUGAUUUUCGCUGCGUCCUCUCCGCGACGCGCGCAGGGAGCGCGCCCGGCCACCUGCAGCCUCUGGCUGCGGCCAUCUUUCCGCCUGGGGCCACCUGGCCUGCGCCCUUUGUGCCCGGCCCGCUCCGUGACUGUUCUUCUUGCCGCUACUUACAGAACUCAGCCGCCUUAGCGUCUUAGAGAAGAGGACGGCAUGCAUGCGGACCCCGUCCACCACACCUGGAGAGCAGGGAGCCCUUAGUCCCUGGACACUUACCAGGGCCGCCACCCCUGGUCCACGCACGUGAUGACAUCUCACCAGGGGCAGCACACCGCCCGAGUCCGCGACACUGAUAACACCUCCUGCGGGCAGGAGGGCGCCACAGCCACCCCUGGUCCCCUAGAUUGUGUGAGGCUAGCAUUUCUGCCCGCCUCUUGGCGUGGACAGCACGCUGGACCGAGAUGGAACCACAGCUUUCUCUUCCCAAUCCCUGGCCUCACCGUUUUGUUUCAUACCUCACCGUUUGUUUCAAACCUCGUGGUGUUGAAAUGAUUAAAUGAGAUUAAGGGGUGUGUGGUAGUGUUGGGCAAACCACAAGAAAACGGUCUGGGUGGGGUCUGGCCCUAAAAUCUUCCUCCCCCACCUCCCAGGCUUCCUUGCCUUGCUGCUUCCUCUCAGCCUUUAAACAGGUUGGCCUCUCCAAGUCCUAAAAACAAAAUUAUCAAGCCAACCUCCUCCUGAAGUGCUCCCUCCAACUAGCUUCCAAGUGUUUCAUGCGGACCUCAAACAAUGGUCUUCCCUGGCUGCCUCUGCUUCCUCAUUUCUCAACACUUGGCAUUCUGGCUUCUCCUCCCCAACUCUAACCCUUCACCUUGCUCAGGCAAGAGCAACUCAUGACUUUCAUUUUGCCAAACCUUGCAGGCAUUCCUCAGGCCUUAUCUCUCUGGUUCUUUCUGCUACAUUUGACACCUUGGGAUGACUCUCACCUUCUGGAAUCUCUCUACUACCUUGGUUUCAGAAGAGUGAACCCUCUGGAUUAUCACAUGAAGAUGUUUUGAGAAUGGUGAAAAAAGGAAUUUGGACACUGGCUUUAGAGGAAGUGCUGAGUCACCAGGAAAGGCUUGAGCAUGUUUAUGGGUU